RNAcentral lists this ribosomal RNA (590 nucleotides) under uncultured bacterium. RNAcentral describes it as "bacterial SSU rRNA". It matches the Rfam family "Bacterial small subunit ribosomal RNA", at positions 335 to 916 of the family's 1533-position model. The record is from RNAcentral.
ACUCCUACGGGAGGCAGCAGUAGGGAAUCUUCCGCAAUGGACGAAAGUCUGACGGAGCAACGCCGCGUGAGUGAAGAAGGUUUUCGGAUCGUAAAGCUCUGUUGUUAAGGAAGAACACCAUGGAUAGGAAAUGAUCGAUGGAUGACGGUACUUAACCAGAAAGCCACGGCUAACUACGUGCCAGCAGCCGCGGUAAUACGUAGGUGGCAAGCGUUAUCCGGAAUUAUUGGGCGUAAAGCGCGCGUAGGCGGUUUCUUAAGUCUAAUGUGAAAGCCCCCGGCUCAACCGGGGAGGGUCAUUGGAAACUGGGGAACUUGAGUACAGAAGAGGAGAGUGGAAUUCCAUGUGUAGCGGUGAAAUGCGCAGAGAUAUGGAGGAACACCAGUGGCGAAGGCGGCUCUCUGGUCUGCAACUGACGCUGAGGUGCGAAAGCGUGGGGAUCAAACAGGAUUAGAUACCCUGGUAGUCCACGCUGUAAACGAUGAGUGCUAAGUGUUAGGGGGUUUCCGCCCCUUAGUGCUGCAGUAAACGCAUUAAGCACUCCGCCUGGGGAGUACGGCCGCAAGGUUGAAACUCAAAGGAAUUGACGG